UUUAAGUACAACCAUAGUUUCCGUGCCCAACUUUGAUCAUUCGUCUUAUUUGAAUUUUUUUUAUAAUUAGUAUUUUUAUUGUUAUGAGAUGAGAAAACAUGAAUAGUAAUUUAUACGUGACUUAUGUCUUUAAAUUUUUUAAAAUUUUUUCAAAUAAGACGGACGAUUAAAGUUAUGUAUGGAAAAUCAUGGCUGCACAACAC
Oryza glumipatula is the source of this 203-nucleotide non-coding RNA. NCBI's taxonomy places the organism in Eukaryota, Viridiplantae, Streptophyta, Magnoliopsida, Poales, Poaceae. The record is from Rfam.